AGGUUCAGAGCUUUUGGCUGCUCACCCCUGAACUGAGUGAUGUCUUCGCUUCCUGGUGUUGCCAUGGGUUCCAGGCUUCUCUGCUGGGUGGCCCUUUGUCUCCUGGGAGCAGGCCCAGUGGAUUCCGGGGUAACUCAAACUCCGAGACACGUGGUCAAAGCACAAGGACAGCAAGUGACGUUGAGAUGUUCCCCUAUCUCUGGACACCUAUCUUUGUACUGGUACCAACAGGCCGUGGGCCAGGGCCCCCAGUUACUUAUCCAGUAUUAUGACAAGAAAGAGAGUAACAGAGGAAACUUCCCGAAACGAUUCUCGGCUCAACAGUUCGCUGACUAUCACUCCGAGCUAAACAUGAGCUCCUUGGAGCUGACGGAUGCGGCCCUCUAUCUCUGUGCCAGCAGCCCUGACACAGCCCUGCACCCUCCGCAGCCUACCGUACAAAAAUAUUCCACCCUCAGCUCAGGAAGUGAUGGCGAGGGUGGUGGCUGCCAGUCACGUGGCCACAGGCCCUGGUAAAGCAACAGGGUCUCCCAGAUGCUGGUACUGCUGUCCACGUGUGUGAGAAGUCUUAAUGCUCACAGAAAUCAUGCAAGGUGAAGUAUUCUUUUCCCUGUUGACAUAUAUGAGGGGAAGUAGCUUCCCUGGUGUCUGAGCAAGGACUCCAGCUCUGCUCUGUUCCUCAACACCUGUGGUCCCCCCACCCCCAGAACUGUCCCCUGAUCUGGCUUCCCUUCCCAGGUCCUGAUUAGCAGGACACAAAGGAUCACGCACCCACGUGUGAUUAUCACAACGUCGUCCUGGGAAGAUGAACACACCCAAACAGCAGUGGGUCCCUUGCUUUGGACAAGGUCCUGUAUCAUAUAAAAUACAAAAUGAAAAUCA
Molecule: non-coding RNA, 882 nt
Organism: Suricata suricatta (meerkat)
Lineage: Eukaryota; Metazoa; Chordata; Mammalia; Carnivora; Herpestidae
Source: the annotation of a RefSeq genome assembly